AUUGAACGCUGGCGGGAUGCUUUACACAUGCAAGUCGAACGGCAGCGCGGACUUCUGUCUGGCUGCUAGUGGCGAACGGGUGUGUAAUGUAUCGGAACGUGCCCAGUAUCGGUGUGUAACUACUCGAAAGCGUAGCUAAUACCGCAUACGCCCUACUGGUGAAAGCAGGGGAUGGUAAGACCUUGCACUAUUGUAGCGUCCGAUAUCGGAUUAGCUAGUUGGUGAGGUAACCGCUCACCAAGGCGACGAUCGGUAGCUGGUUUGAGAGGACGACCAGCCACACUGGGAGUGAGACAGGGCCAAGAGUACUACGAGAGGCAGCAGUCGCGAAUGUUGGACAAUGGGGGGAAACAUGAUCCAGCCAUCCCGAGUGUGAGACGAAGGCGUUCGGGUUGUAAAGCACUCUUGGCAGGAAAGAACCGCUGUGGGCUAAGACGAAGCGGAACUGACGGUAACUGGAGAAUAAGCACCGGCUAACUACGUG
This 484-nucleotide ribosomal RNA is filed under the name uncultured bacterium. Its description in RNAcentral is "partial 16S ribosomal RNA". It matches the Rfam family "Bacterial small subunit ribosomal RNA", at positions 30 to 507 of the family's 1533-position model. The record is from RNAcentral.